RNAcentral lists this ribosomal RNA (553 nucleotides) under uncultured archaeon. RNAcentral describes it as "bacterial SSU rRNA". It matches the Rfam family "Archaeal small subunit ribosomal RNA", at positions 326 to 879 of the family's 1478-position model. The record is from RNAcentral.
CGGGGUGCAGCAGGCGCGAAAACUUUACAAUGCUGGAAACAGCGAUAAGGGGACCUCGAGUGCCAGGUUACAAAUCUGGCUGUCGUGAUGCCUAAAAAGCAUUGCAUAGCAAGGGCCGGGCAAGACCGGUGCCAGCCGCCGCGGUAACACCGGCGGCUCGAGUGGUAACCGUUAUUAUUGGGUCUAAAGGGUCUGUAGCCGGCCGGAUAAGUCUCUUGGGAAAUCCAGCAGCUCAACUGUUGGGCUUUCAGGAGAUACUGUCUGGCUCGAGGCCGGGAGAGGUGAGAGGUACUUCAGGGGUAGGGGUGAAAUCUUGUAAUCCUUGAAGGACCACCAGUGGCGAAGGCGUCUCACCAGAACGGACCUGACGGCAAGGGACGAAAGCUAGGGGCACGAACCGGAUUAGAUACCCGGGUAGUCCUAGCCGUAAACGAUACUCGCUAGGUGUCGGCCACGGUGCGACCGUUGUCGGUGCCGUAGGGAAGCCGUGAAGCGAGCCACCUGGGAAGUACGGCCGCAAGGGUGAAACUUAAAGGAAUUGGCGGGGGAGCAC